AGUGAACGCUGGCGGUAGGCCUAACACAUGCAAGUCGAACGGCAGCACAGUAAGAGCUUGCUCUUACGGGUGGCGAGUGGCGGACGGGUGAGGAAUACAUCGGAAUCUACUUUUUCGUGGGGGAUAACGUAGGGAAACUUACGCUAAUACCGCUUACGACCUACGGGUGAAAGCAGGGGAUCUUCGGACCUUGCGCGAUUGAAUGAGCCGAUGUCGGAUUAGCUAGUUGGCGGGGUAAGGGCCCACCAAGGCGACGAUCCGUAGCUGGUCUGAGAGGAUGAUCAGCGACACUGGAACUGAGACACGGUCCAGACUCCUACGGGAGGCAGCAGUGGGGAAUAUUGGACAAUGGGCGCAAGCCUGAUCCAGCCAUACCGCGUGGGUGAAGAAGGCCUUCGGGUUGUAAAGCCCUUUUGUUGGGAAAGAAAAGCAGCAGGUUAAUACCCCGCUGUUCUGACGGUACCCAAAGAAUAAGCACCGGCUAACUUCGUG
This 492-nucleotide ribosomal RNA is filed under the name uncultured bacterium. RNAcentral's name for it is "partial 16S ribosomal RNA". It matches the Rfam family "Bacterial small subunit ribosomal RNA", at positions 29 to 507 of the family's 1533-position model. The record is from RNAcentral.